UUAAAUACUUCGAUAGAGAGAAAGAUACUGGAUGUUCUUUACAGAGACCUGGGGCCGGUGCAAGCCAGGAAGAAAUAAGGUAUGUAAUAUUCACUCUGGAGUAGAAUUGUUGAAAAUGUAGACAAUUUCGGAAGCCACCGUUAUCUUAGGCUAUGGAUUAAUUUGAUCCUGAUAAGAGAUAGUAAUUUAUACUAUAAUUUAGGUGGUACCGCGAAUCUUUCGUCCUAUGG
This 230-nucleotide non-coding RNA is filed under the name Peptoniphilus sp. Its description in RNAcentral is "T-box sequence". It matches the Rfam family "T-box leader". Rfam says of the family: Uncharged tRNA acts as the effector for transcription antitermination of genes in the T-box leader family. T-boxes are found upstream of many aminoacyl-tRNA synthetase genes and some amino acid biosynthetic genes usually in Gram-positive bacteria. The record is from RNAcentral. Lineage: Bacteria; Bacillati; Bacillota; Tissierellia; Tissierellales; Peptoniphilaceae.